Molecule: transfer RNA, 74 nt
Filed under: Loxodonta africana (African savanna elephant)
Lineage: Eukaryota; Metazoa; Chordata; Mammalia; Proboscidea; Elephantidae
Rfam family: tRNA
About the family: Transfer RNA (tRNA) molecules are approximately 80 nucleotides in length.
Source: Rfam by way of RNAcentral
CCCUGAGUGGUGCAAAUGGUUAAUGCACUCAGUUGCUAACUGAAAGGUUGGAGGUUCAAAUCCACCCAGAGGAA